Molecule: long non-coding RNA, 1030 nt
Organism: Fukomys damarensis (Damara mole-rat)
Lineage: Eukaryota; Metazoa; Chordata; Mammalia; Rodentia; Bathyergidae
Exons: 5
Source: RefSeq, a predicted model, not a curated record
CUCACGCGCACGCCGCCGGGUGAUCGCAGACAGGCAGGACUUAGAGGGAAAUAACUAGAUAAAAGGGAAGUCUGAAAUGAAUGAAUUCUGAAAAUGAAAUGUUUGGAAUGGACCAAUCCAUAGAAACAGAAACAGGUCCGAACAUAUAAUAGGAGGGACGGAAGAAAGAGGAUAUGGUUCUGACCUUGGUGCAACGGAAAUAUGAUUGAAGACAGUGAGAAGGUUUACCUCCAGGAAAAGUAUUUUCUAAAGCAGGUCCACUUCAAGCACAGAUGGCCUGGAUGUAAUACUUAUGUGAUAGUAAAACAUUGCUCGAAGCAGCCAAGUGGAAGAGUGGCUGCCAUGGAGAAUCAAAGUUCGAAUACACUACUUGCUAAAGUCAUGGCAGAUGCAGAAUACGAAUCCUCAAAUUUGUGGCCAUUCCAGUGGAUGAAAUAAUCAUUGUUUUGAUCAAGAAUUCUUUGUCACUGUGAUACUUGUGACAUAUUUAUCAGCAUUCACAGUUAAAAAGCUUACAUAUGUUUUCCCCCAUCCAUGUAAUCUAAUCAAAGGUGCCAACCCUGGAACUGCGCCAACACAAAGCUUCGCUGUGACUCGGGUACAGCCUGCACAGUCCAUCUAGAGUUGUUGAUCUGCUUGAUGUCACAUGACAGAUCCUACUGCUCUGAAAGAUGAAAGGAUGUUCAAGCCACGUGUCUGCAGAUGACAGUUUUCUUUAUGAUAAACCACAGAGUCACAGCUUGUUAAAUAAGCCUGUGACGAUGACAAAAGACAAGGCCAUCAGUCUGGAGCAGAAUAUGGCCUAACUGCCCAUGACAAACCACACUAUUAUUUCCUACACACACUGACAUCUCAUAAAGCAUUCCCACAAGUGGUAGCCAGAAAUAGUUUCUGAAGACAGCCCCACAAGAGAGUAAUAGCUUGCUGCUUAUCUUUGAACAAAUGAGUGGAAAAAAAUCUGGAGUGUGCAAUGUAGUUCUCUUACCCUAAGAGAUAAAAUUGACUUUUUACCUAGGACAUUUUGUAUGAU